GCCUGAGAAACGGCUACCACAUCCAAGGAAGGCAGCAGGCGCGCAAAUUACCCAAUCCCGAUUCGGGGAGGUAGUGACAAUAAAUACUGAUACAGGGCUCUUUUGGGUCUUGUAAUUGGAAUGAGUACAAUUUAAACCUCUUAACGAGGAACAAUUGGAGGGCAAGUCUGGUGCCAGCAGCCGCGGUAAUUCCAGCUCCAAUAGCGUAUAUUAAAGUUGUUGCAGUUAAAAAGCUCGUAGUUGAAACUUGGGUCUGGCUGGCGGGUCCGCCUCACCGCGUGCACUCGUCCGGCCGGGCCUUCCUUCUGAAGAACCUCAUGCCCUUUACUGGGCGUGUUGGGGAAUCAGGACUUUUACUUUGAAAAAAUUAGAGUGUUCAAAGCAGGCCUUUGCUCGAAUACGUUAGCAUGGAAUAAUAAAAUAGGGCGUGCGUUUCUAUUUUGUUGGUUUCUAGAGACGCCGCAAUGAUUAACAGGAACAGUCGGGGGCAUCAGUAUUCAGUUGUCAGAGGUGAAAUUCUUGGAUUUACUGAAGACUAACUACUGCGAAAGCAUUUGCCAAGGAUGUUUUCAUUAAUCAGUGAACGAAAGUUAGGGGAUCGAAGACGAUCAGAUACCGUCGUAGUCUUAACCGUAAACUAUGCCGACUAGGGAUCGGGCGAUGUUCUUUUUCUGACUCGCUCGGCACCUUACGAGAAAUCAAAGUUU
RNAcentral lists this ribosomal RNA (707 nucleotides) under Pyrenophora tritici-repentis. RNAcentral's name for it is "SSU rRNA". It matches the Rfam family "Eukaryotic small subunit ribosomal RNA", at positions 394 to 1106 of the family's 1831-position model. The record is from RNAcentral. Lineage: Eukaryota; Fungi; Ascomycota; Dothideomycetes; Pleosporales; Pleosporaceae.